AAAAAGGGUAAAAUCUGAAUUUUCGUGUUUAAUUUUAUCUGUUUUUUUUAUAUAAAUUUUUUUUAUAAUUCGUAUUUUUAUUGUUGUUAGAUGAUAAAACAUGAUUAAUAUUUUAUGCCUGACUUAUCUUUUUAAUUUUUUUCAUAAUUUUUUCAAAUAAAACGGACGGUCAAAUGUUGGACACAGAAAUCAAG
Molecule: microRNA precursor, 194 nt
Filed under: Oryza nivara
Lineage: Eukaryota; Viridiplantae; Streptophyta; Magnoliopsida; Poales; Poaceae
Description: MIR812 microRNA precursor family
Rfam family: MIR812 microRNA precursor family
Source: Rfam by way of RNAcentral